RNAcentral lists this ribosomal RNA (253 nucleotides) under uncultured bacterium. RNAcentral's name for it is "partial 16S ribosomal RNA". It matches the Rfam family "Bacterial small subunit ribosomal RNA", at positions 524 to 776 of the family's 1533-position model. The record is from RNAcentral.
CACGUAGGGCGCGAGCGUUGUCCGGAAUUAUUGGGCGUAAAGAGCUCGUAGGCGGCCUGUUGCGUCCGCUGUGAAAGCCCGGGGCUUAACCCCGGGUCGGCAGUGGAUACGGGCAGGCUAGAGGUAGGUAGGGGAGAAUGGAAUUCCCGGUGUAGCGGUGAAAUGCGCAGAUAUCGGGAGGAACACCGGUGGCGAAGGCGGCAUCCUGGACCAAUUCUGACGCUGAGGAGCGAAAGCCAGGGGAGCAAACGGG